Molecule: ribosomal RNA, 490 nt
Filed under: uncultured bacterium
Lineage: Bacteria
Description: partial 16S ribosomal RNA
Rfam family: Bacterial small subunit ribosomal RNA
Source: RNAcentral
AUUGAACGCUGGCGGCAGGCCUAACACAUGCAAGUCGAACGGUAACAGGAAGCAGCUUGCUGCUUUGCUGAUGAGUGGCGGGCGGGUGAGAAAUGUCUGGGAAACUGCCCGAUGGAGGGGGACAACUACUGGAAACGGUAGCUAAUACCGCAUAACGUCGCCAGACCAAAGAGGGGGACCUUAGGGCCUCUUGCCAUCGUAUGUGCCCAGGUGGGAUUAGCUAGUAGGGGGGGUAACGUCUCACCUAGGCGACGAUCCCUAGCUGGUCUGAGAGAAUGACCGGCCACACUAGAGCUGGGACAGGGACCAGACUCCUGCGGGACGGAGCAGUGGGGAAUAUUGCGCAAAGGGGGGAAGCCUGAUGCAACCAUGCCGCGUGUAUGAAGAAAGCCUUGGGGUUGUAAAGUACGUUCAGCGGGGGGGAAGGGAGUAAGGUUAAUACCUAUGCUCAUUGACGUUACCCGGAGAAGAAGCACCGGCUAACUACGUG